Molecule: long non-coding RNA, 691 nt
Filed under: Homo sapiens (human)
Lineage: Eukaryota; Metazoa; Chordata; Mammalia; Primates; Hominidae
Description: HSALNT0370169
Source: RNAcentral
UGCGCCGCGUCCCCAGGACCCAGCAGAGUGCUCCAGCUCCCGCGGAGGAGGCUGCGGGCGGCGCCCCGGGAUAGGGACCCUGCAGCUCCAGGGAGUUGAACUUGUCAAAUUAAUGUCUACAGUGAUAUGUAUGAAACAAAGGGAAGAAGAAUUCUUGCUAACCAUCAGACCUUUUGCAAACAGGAUGCAGGUAACCCCACACCAUUAGGAUUGAGGCACAUGUGCUCACUUUAAAGCUGCUGGUAUUGUUCCUAAGAAGUUGCACAAGCCUGGGCUUUUAACUGAAGACAAACUUUUCACUGACAUAUAAAAAACUACAAAUGCUCUGGUAAUGUAAGCUGGAUCACAGUGAAAUCUCUAUAAUUUGAAUUAUGAGUUGAAUUCAAAUUGAAGUAUGAAAUCUAUGGCCAUUGUACUUUGUUAUUUCACUAAGAGUGCUAUAUGAGUAGCCAGAUUUACAACUGACAUCAGGUUUGUUUUGUAUCCAGGCUUAUGCACAACUUUUGUAAGCAGCAAUAGCAGUUUUGUGGGCACUUGAAAUGGGAGAGAAUUCUAAAGUCGCUGCCUCCUGUUAAACACCAAGAAUGGGGAGGAUUGCCUCUUAGUCCAGAGUAAAAGAUAUCUGAAUUAAAAACAAUGAGAAUUUUAACUUUAAAAGUCUGAUUCUGGAAACAACUACAGGCUACAACUU